GAGCACAUAGUUUAACGGCAGAACAUCAGGAUGUGCUUCGGCACAGUACUUCAACAACUCUUCCUCAAUUUGAGGUGAUCGUGGGAGUUACUUCGUUGACCUGACGUAUAGGUUCGAUUCCUAUUGUGCUCA
Molecule: transfer RNA, 132 nt
Filed under: Herpetosiphon aurantiacus DSM 785
Lineage: Bacteria; Bacillati; Chloroflexota; Chloroflexia; Herpetosiphonales; Herpetosiphonaceae
Description: tRNA-Und (NNN) (tRNA-Und-NNN-2-1)
Rfam family: tRNA
About the family: Transfer RNA (tRNA) molecules are approximately 80 nucleotides in length. Their secondary structure includes four short double-helical elements and three loops (D, anti-codon, and T loops).
Source: RNAcentral